Armigeres subalbatus is the source of this 2821-nucleotide long non-coding RNA. RefSeq lists it as uncharacterized. NCBI's taxonomy places the organism in Eukaryota, Metazoa, Arthropoda, Insecta, Diptera, Culicidae. The transcript is spliced from 2 exons. The record is from RefSeq and is a predicted model, not a curated record.
UCGAAAAUCCAGUGCCGCCGCGCGGCCCACCGGCGGGGAUCGUCGCCCCGUCGGGAGAGGUCUGUUCAUUGUGGUGACAGCGGAAAGCGCUUCGUGUGAAGCGCCGGUACGCCAGAAAAAAUCUGCGUUGCGAAAAUAAUGGCUUAUAUGGAUUUAAGUGAGUUUCGAGAUUUUGGUGAACAUUAGUGACAAAGAAUGUGGUGUCCUGCAUGAUCGGGUUUCCAAUGAAAACCCCAAGGAUAACAUUUCACAAAGAGAACAUUUGAAGUGAGCAAACAAGAAGCAACGAAGCGCGAAGAGCCUUUAUGCUGUGCAAAGCUUGAGUGUAAAAUUGGAUCAUUAAUUAAUUGCGACGAAAACAGCUGAGUGUAAUUGUUUUGAAAUGGCGAUAAGCGAAAAGUGGCGCUUGCGAAACGACCACGGGCAUUCGUUUCUACGACAAAAAAUUGAGUUUUCAUCAGAUCCUGAUUUACAAUGAACUACAGCUAAGUGGAUUUUAAUAUGCAAAGGUGAAGAAGCCGGGAAUUGUCCUACGUUCCGGAUAUCACACCCAACAAAUGUGAAUGGUGAUGUAGAUCUCUGGUCGAGUUACGGAUUUGCUUGCGUAGUACGCACGGAAGAAACGAGUGCUUUUGCGACAAAAGAUGGUUCAACUGUGCACUCUUUGGUUGAGGGUCUGCGGGAUCCACGAGGAAACGUCCAGCUGCCGACGGAGAAGAAAGGUUCCAGCACGCAACGUAAGCCUGGUGAAUCCUCUGUUGCAGGUGGUUUCUAGUAGCUUCGACUUCGAUAGGAUAUCCGAGAAAGUGAUUUAAAUGAUAAUUUCAGAGAAAAAUAUGCAUUUGGUUUACAACUGGACGUCUUAUAAUAAGUUUUUGUAUUAAUAAUUUAACUGCGGAUUUUGUUUCGUUUGCGCGUAUUUUUGAUCGCUUAUUAUUAUUAUCUACUAGUGAAACAUCUUUUUAAAUUCAACAACACAAGUUGUGUGUAAAAGUGAAUCUUUUUAUGCGUUCAAGUGAUAUUGCAAAGAAACAGAAGCACGUUGAGUCCAACAUUUAGCAUAUAAGAAUAAGUGUUUUUAAUCGAGAAAAUUUAUUUUGAAAGUAAAAAGCAGCGGAAUUACGCGAUACAAAUGUACAGAAAAAUCAUUCGAGUGUAUGUGACGUCGAGCACGUUGCUUAUUGAGUUUUAUUAUUAAUUAACAGAAUUUAAUCAGAUUAUUGCCCCAAACGAACACACAUUGAAGAACUCAAACAGAAAAAGACUAAACAGUUUAAAACAUUCAGCGUAUAAUUCGUAGCAUGUAGAACGAUUGAAAAAAAAAAUUAUUGUUAUAUUAUUGUUGAACACAUUAUUGAAAAAUUAAAAUUAUGAAAUUAUUCAAAACAAAAAAAACUGUGAACAAUUUUCUCUCUCUUAAAAAAUGGAUCUUGACUAAUUGUAUUUAGAAAUUUCAGUCUCUCUCAAGCCUUUUUGUUUUUAAUAACGGACUAUUUUGAGCCUUGGUUUUCACUAUAACGUUUUCAAAGAAGGAAUCUUUUGCUAAUUUUUUCUUCUUUCAAAGGAGGAACAGGGAAUCGGCAGGUAUUCCGUCAGGCUAUUGCGCUUCGGCUUCGUUUCGGCUAAAGCCGCAAUUACUACUAUAAUGCAAUGCAUUCUAAUGACCAUAAAUAGAUAUGAAUUGAUGGAAACAUUGGAAUCUAUCCUCCUAAAGCGCUAGUUUGGUGGACAAUCUUUUUUUUAUAUGACGGCUAGCUUGGUUUUUUAAUCAAAACCAUUACUUUAGCUGUCUUUUAAAUUGGGAAAGAGAAAUGGACUCUCACAUUCCAUCAUCAGAAAGGGAAAUGGACCCUCAUAUUCCACCACGAGCUGAUUGGGAAGGGGGUGAUGCGAUGACUCUGCUUGGCCUUUGACCGAAAAGGGAGCCAUCACAUUUUUAAUUUUUGGAUAAAUGUUCGAAAGUCAUAUAAUAUGGUAGAGUUGCAGUAUUUUUCAUGUGCCAUUUUUGAAAACAACAACAUGGUACAUUUUUCUAAAAGUGGGUUUUAUAUACAACGUAUGAAAAUGUUCAUAUUGGCAUAUUAGUUUGCCAAAUUUUAAUAAGGGAAAAUAAUGAAGGAGGAUAUAAUCCUAUAGAAAGAUUUAUUAUUUGAAGAAAUAAUACUAUAUUACAGGAGAACAGUCAUGCCUCCUAUAGAAAGAAAUUAAAAGAGAUAUUACAGGAGAAGAGUCAUGCCUCCUAUAGAAAGAAAUAAAAAGAGAUAUUGCAGGAGGAGAAUUGUGCCUCCUUAAAAAGGAUAUUAUGGGAGAGGAAAACACCCUCCAGAAAAUUAAACAAAAGGGGAGUACAUUUAUAGAAUUUUGUAUGGAUCUGGAUACUUAAAGUUAUCCAAAAAGGGAAAAGUGUACAAAAAUAUUGCAAGUUCUACCAAGUUGCUAUAAAGUUUAGAACUCAACCCGCUACUUUCAAUUGAAAGUGAUCUUUUUAAGUACACUUUCAACUCAUUGGGUAGGGGGUAAUGUGACGACCCCAACUACUUAAAUUCCUUCAGGGGGAUUCGUCACAAUCUUUUAUGCGGAGUCAGUUUACCUUGGCACCGACCCGCGCUAGAAAAGAGUUUUGCGCACAGCAACAGGGUUUUGUUGUUUAAGUCUGCUUACUUUUGCUUUAUAAGCAAAAUACAGCACUUGGCAAGGUUCUAAAUGAACCGUUAUGUGUGAGAGAGUCAUUAAGUAAAGAGAGAGAGAAAAUUGUCAACAUAAAGUAGGUUAGCUGUAAGUUAAAUGUAAGUUAAUAAAGAGUCUUAUUUGUACCACCGAA